GUUUGCAGCAUAUUCAACUUUGAACAUCUUUUUCAGGUCUACAAUCCAUAUAAAAAUCUGUAUAUAUGUGGUAUAAUUUCCAAUGAGACAGCUUUCCAGAGGUUAAAAUAACAAAUUAAUUAUAGGCAACCAUACAGCCUUAAAAAGUGAGAAAAAAAAAAACAGUCUAGACAUGUUAAGUAAGCAACAAUUAAAUUAAGAAAAGUAAUGGCCUGAUUUGCAACUUAUAAACAACAGGUUUGGAACCCUCCCCCCAAAAAAAAAAAUAAUCAAAGAGCAGAUUGCUCUGAGGGAUACGAUUGCCGUUGUUUCAUUGACACAUGUAUACAUGUAGCUGGAUAAUAUUAUUUUCAAAACUAAUUCAACUGCACAUGUAAAAUAGUUACAAAAUAGCCAAUCCCGGAUAAAAGUGUAUGAACAUUGUAAUUAGGCCUAUUGUGUUUUAUUUUUGUACUAUCAAUUCCAAGUUUACUUUCCACAGCAGUCACUGA
RNAcentral lists this long non-coding RNA (491 nucleotides) under Mytilus galloprovincialis (Mediterranean mussel). Lineage: Eukaryota; Metazoa; Mollusca; Bivalvia; Mytilida; Mytilidae. The record is from RNAcentral.